GGGCCGCUGGUCUAGUGGUAUGAUUCUCGCUUAGGGCUCACCCUGAACAAACAACAACGCUGUUCGUUGCUGCGAGAGGUCCCGGGUUCAAUCCCCGGGUGGCCCC
Non-coding RNA from Cladorrhinum sp. PSN332, 106 nucleotides. Lineage: Eukaryota; Fungi; Ascomycota; Sordariomycetes; Sordariales; Podosporaceae. The record is from the annotation of a GenBank genome assembly.